UCCCUGGUGGUCCAGUAGUUAGGACUCAGUGCUUUCACUACUGUGGCCUGGGUUCAGUCCCUGGUUGGGGAA
This 72-nucleotide transfer RNA is filed under the name Bos taurus (domestic cattle). It matches the Rfam family "tRNA". From Rfam's summary of the family: Transfer RNA (tRNA) molecules are approximately 80 nucleotides in length. Their secondary structure includes four short double-helical elements and three loops (D, anti-codon, and T loops). Further hydrogen bonds mediate the characteristic L-shaped molecular structure. tRNAs have two regions of fundamental functional importance: the anti-codon, which is responsible for specific mRNA codon recognition, and the 3' end, to which the tRNAs corresponding amino acid is attached (by aminoacyl-tRNA synthetases). tRNAs cope with the degeneracy of the genetic code in two manners: having more than one tRNA (with a specific anti-codon) for a particular amino acid; and 'wobble' base-pairing, i.e. permitting non-standard base-pairing at the 3rd anti-codon position. Lineage: Eukaryota; Metazoa; Chordata; Mammalia; Artiodactyla; Bovidae. The record is from Rfam by way of RNAcentral. RNAcentral also lists the same sequence under 4 other names.